This 2462-nucleotide long non-coding RNA is filed under the name Homo sapiens (human). Its description in RNAcentral is "non-protein coding CCEPR:8". The record is from RNAcentral. Lineage: Eukaryota; Metazoa; Chordata; Mammalia; Primates; Hominidae.
UCGCGCGUGAGGCGUCGGGCGACCGAGCGCGCGGGAAGGGCGAGCGCUAUACGCCGCGCGGCUGCCUCGCCCUCUCUCCUGGUGAUAGCCAUUUGGCGUCUUCUGUCUGCUCUCGGUGCCUGGCGAAGCCCGAGUUGGCCCUGAGGCGUCUGCACGGGGAGGCGAGGGCGAGCAUGUUUGUUGUUUACCAAGAAUUGGAAAAAUAAGGGCCCGGACUCUUCGGACUCUCUGUACGGUAUUGGGGUGUGGGAGCCACCUCCUCCCCUGAAGGUCCCAGGAUACUCGCUGCCCGCACCCUGCGGGCUCGGCCGGACAUUCCUCGGAAACAGCUGCGUCUGUGUGAGAAAUGAGCGGAUUACCUGAGGCGUGGAGGGGUUUAGAGACAGCAUUUUGCCAGUCCACGACACUGAAGCGGGGCAAACGUGGGAACUCCUUACUGCCAGAAAGGUGAGGGAAUGAGGAGAUGCAGCAAGCCUGCUGAAAAGGCGGCAGACAUGCUGCGGGGCCAGCAGCCACGGGACCAGCAGCCACGCAGUCUGCCUUCGCAGCGUAGCUUCAUUCAUUCAUGCGCGUAGCAAAUAAGUAUUCAAUGCUCACCCUAUGCCAUUGUUCUGGGCGUCAAUGAAGGGAGUAUAAACAGCACCUGCUCCCAUGGAUUUGGAAGGAAUCUUUGCUACAAUAGCUAAUGAAGAUUGACUUGUGCUUCCUCAAGCUACUCUAUAACUUGUAUGCCCAUUGAUUUUAAUUGCAUUUAAGAUUCUGCAGUGCACUUAGUGGAUGUGCAAACGUUUUAAACAUAAAAUAGAGGUCACAGCCUAUUGACCUCUGUUCCCGUUUGCUUCUUUGGAAAAGUUUUUAGUUUUGUUGCUAUCUUGGGAUCAAAAAUAGUGUCCCCUCUUUUCUUAAUGUGCUUAUAAAUUAAUAUAAGUUCCCUUUUAUUGAUUUUCCAUUUCAAACAUAAAUGUUAACCAACAAGUAACAGUUUACACAUAGAUGUCUGUAUGCUGCUCUUUCUAGUCACAUCCAUUUAGCUAUAACAUGAUGAAGUCUAAUUAAUUGAAGCUUCAAUAAAUGGAAGGACCAGCUUAAAGUAAAAUAAGCCUGUGAAAAAUCUUGGCACAAUUGAAAUUUCAUAAAUAUCUGUGAAAGAUAAUUAGGCAUCUUAAAGUGAAAAGUCUUCAUUAUGAACUUAUUAAUGAAGAUGGAUGUUUUUGAAGUUUGAAAGAAUUCUUGUCUUAAGGUAGGGGUGUCCCCAAGGAGAGGGUAAAUUAUUACCUGUCAAAGGAUAUGACAAGAAAGUACUUACUGGUGAAUUUUCUGUGUUCGAAAGCCUGGCUCUGUAGAACUAGAAAUUGGUAUUGUAAGCCCAACAGUGGGUUCAUUUUUUAGAGUAGUCUCAAAUUUAUAAAUCUCAAAAAAAAGGAACUGUGUAAACUAGAAUAACAAUUUACUGAUUUUCAAGUAAGAAAUACGACAUGCAUUUAAUUCAAACUCAUGCAAAUAUUUAUGAAGCACCUAUGUCCAGGACACUGUGCUAUGUGUUGAAAAUUUGGAGUUCAAAUUUAUCAAGAAAGAUAUAUAUUGAAAAAGUAAAAGUAGGAUGGGUGUUAAGAAAGAGGAAGUAUGGGAGCUUGUAGAAGCACGCACGAGGUUUAUAACCUAGGUUAGAUGGUCAGGAAGAUCUCCAAAAUGAUUUUAUCUUAAGGGAAUGAGAAAUUAUUAAAAAGGCUUUAAAUAGGAAAUUAGCAUGAUCAGAUUUGUCGGCUAGAAUAUUUGUGUAAUCGGAAAGGGUAAUGUUUCAAGAAGUGUAUUAAUGUCACUUUCUGGGUAUACAACUUAAUCAAUCCAAGGCACCUUUCUGCUGAGGAUUUGGAUUCUUGUAUAAAAAAUACAAAAGAAAUAUUUACUUUUUAACUUUCGAUAUUAAAUAUAGGAUUUUUUAAAUCGAGUUUUUAGGCUUCAAAUCGAGGCAUUGUCAAGACAUAAAAUGUAAAUUUGUUUAUGGUUCAACAUAUCAAGGCUAGGCCUGGUGGACCAAAUGAUAGGGUUUCUCCCAUAGUAAAGACAAGGUAUCUUAGUCCAGUAUGAAGGAUUUAGUCAGAGAUUGAUAUAAGGAAGGUGGUGGCUAUGAAGUAGGUAAAGUAGAAGAAAAUCCUAUUCUCUUUGGCUUGGAGAAUUACGGGAAAGGGGUAGAAGAGCUCAAGAAAGACACCAGAAACAUUUUUACUGUUCCCACCCUGAAGAUGUAGGGUGAGGGGUUGUGGCUUUAGAAAUAUCCAGAUUGGUGUGGGAAAACUCAAGGACAGAGAAAUUACUUUCCCAAUUCUCAGAUAUCUGGGAAGAUAUCAGGCUGAGCAGGAACCACAUUCCAGUAACCUUGAACAGGGCGGAGACAGGGUAGGCAUUGACUUUCCAGAGUGCUGUAAGUUUCUAUGUACUGUUGAGACUCAGAAAACAAUACU